GCUGCGUGGCACGGACAAAAAUUAGAAAAAGAAAAGUCAGGAAGUCAGUGUGUCACAUCGAUGGCUCGCUGAGCACUGCAGGUUUGGUGUCACCCGCUGUCCUUACGGGUCCUGGGCUCAUUUUGCCACUAGUUCCCGCAGUAAAGCACAGAGGCCAGAGGUAGGCCUUUCUCCCCAUGCUCCUUCUUUGUCAGGAACGUGGGGAGCAGGGAUUUAUUCAUUUGGUGAAAUCCCAUUGGGCCUAACCCACAAGUAUAACAUUCAGUGGGCCUGGCAUGCCUGAGACACACAAAGCUACCCUCUGACUCUUUUCAGCCCACUUCAAACAGAGCAAGACCUCUGUCUGUGCUGAUGUCACUGCCUGCCGCCCUUCUCCACACAAGGAACUGGUCUUGCGCCAGCACCUCCGGAGUCCCCGCCACCCAGCUCUGACCAAAGCGUGGGCCCCUCCCUCCAAACAAGUCUCCCCAGAGCCGACGGCCACGUGCAGUGAUGCUAACACAGGCCAGCCAUGCUGCACCCUUCGUACCUGAAGAGGGUAUGAAGCAGAGAGCUCAUUGCUCCCUGGGAAUGUCCCGCCAGCAUGGAGCUCUCCACAGCCCCGAGAUGCAACGGGAAGUAGAAACCAAGCGACAACUGUAUGGCAUGCAGUCACAUGUGGAAGGAAAAGUAGUGUGUGUGUGUGUGUGUGUGUGUGUGUGUGAGUGUGUGUACACGUGUUUAUGGGAGGCCAGGUCCUCUGGGACUAGCCACAGAUGCAGAGCCAAGGUCUGGUCAGAGGGAGAAUUUUCACCCUCCAAAGCUUUGCUUCUUUCAAAUUCUGGACCAUGUGCAUGUGUGACAUAGUGAAAAUAAAUACA
Long non-coding RNA from Kogia breviceps (pygmy sperm whale), 860 nucleotides. RefSeq lists it as uncharacterized. NCBI's taxonomy places the organism in Eukaryota, Metazoa, Chordata, Mammalia, Artiodactyla, Physeteridae. The record is from RefSeq and is a predicted model, not a curated record.